UCGCGAAUCAUUCACAAUGGACGCAAGUCUGAUGAUGCCACGCCGCGUGCGGGAUGAAGGCCCUUUGGGUUGUAAACCGCUGUCAAGGGAGGGGAAACACCUAGCGUUAACAGCGCUAGGCUUGACUGCUCCCUAAAGGAAGCCACGGCUAACUACGUGCCAGCAGCCGCGGUAAUACGUAGGUGACAAGCGUUGUCCGGAUUUAUUGGGUUUAAAGGGUGCGUAGGUGGCCCUGUAAGUCAGUGGUGAAAUAUCUCAGCUUAACUGAGAGGGUGCCAUUGAUACUGCAGGGCUUGAGUACAGAUGAGGUAGGCGGAAUUGACGGUGUAGCGGUGAAAUGCAUAGAUAUCGUCAAGAACACCGAUAGCGAAGGCAGCUUACCAAGCUGUAACUGACACUGAGGCACGAAAGUGUGGGGAUCAAACAGGAUUAGAUACCCAUGUAGUCCCUGAGCGGGCUGGCAAGGCGCAU
Molecule: ribosomal RNA, 471 nt
Filed under: uncultured bacterium
Lineage: Bacteria
Description: bacterial SSU rRNA
Rfam family: Bacterial small subunit ribosomal RNA
Source: RNAcentral